Molecule: ribosomal RNA, 2932 nt
Filed under: Escherichia coli
Lineage: Bacteria; Pseudomonadati; Pseudomonadota; Gammaproteobacteria; Enterobacterales; Enterobacteriaceae
Description: bacterial LSU rRNA
Rfam family: Bacterial large subunit ribosomal RNA
Source: RNAcentral
GGGUUGUGAGGUUAAGCGACUAAGCGUACACGGUGGAUGCCCUGGCAGUCAGAGGCGAUGAAGGACGUGCUAAUCUGCGAUAAGCGUCGGUAAGGUGAUAUGAACCGUUAUAACCGGCGAUUUCCGAAUGGGGAAACCCAGUGUGAUUCGUCACACUAUCAUUAACUGAAUCCAUAGGUUAAUGAGGCGAACCGGGGGAACUGAAACAUCUAAGUACCCCGAGGAAAAGAAAUCAACCGAGAUUCCCCCAGUAGCGGCGAGCGAACGGGGAGCAGCCCAGAGCCUGAAUCAGUGUGUGUGUUAGUGGAAGCGUCUGGAAAGGCGCGCGAUACAGGGUGACAGCCCCGUACACAAAAAUGCACAUACUGUGAGCUCGAUGAGUAGGGCGGGACACGUGGUAUCCUGUCUGAAUAUGGGGGGACCAUCCUCCAAGGCUAAAUACUCCUGACUGACCGAUAGUGAACCAGUACCGUGAGGGAAAGGCGAAAAGAACCCCGGCGAGGGGAGUGAAAAAGAACCUGAAACCGUGUACGUACAAGCAGUGGGAGCACAGAGCAAUCUGUGUGACUGCGUACCUUUUGUAUAAUGGGUCAGCGACUUAUAUUCUGUAGCAAGGUUAACCGAAUAGGGGAGCCGAAGGGAAACCGAGUCUUAACUGGGCGUUAAGUUGCAGGGUAUAGACCCGAAACCCGGUGAUCUAGCCAUGGGCAGGUUGAAGGUUGGGUAACACUAACUGGAGGACCGAACCGACUAAUGUUGAAAAAUUAGCGGAUGACUUGUGGCUGGGGGUGAAAGGCCAAUCAAACCGGGAGAUAGCUGGUUCUCCCCGAAAGCUAUUUAGGUAGCGCCUCGUGAAUUCAUCUCCGGGGGUAGAGCACUGUUUCGGCAAGGGGGUCAUCCCGACUUACCAACCCGAUGCAAACUGCGAAUACCGGAGAAUGUUAUCACGGGAGACACACGGCGGGUGCUAACGUCCGUCGUGAAGAGGGAAACAACCCAGACCGCCAGCUAAGGUCCCAAAGUCAUGGUUAAGUGGGAAACGAUGUGGGAAGGCCCAGACAGCCAGGAUGUUGGCUUAGAAGCAGCCAUCAUUUAAAGAAAGCGUAAUAGCUCACUGGUCGAGUCGGCCUGCGCGGAAGAUGUAACGGGGCUAAACCAUGCACCGAAGCUGCGGCAGCGACGCUUAUGCGUUGUUGGGUAGGGGAGCGUUCUGUAAGCCUGUGAAGGUGUACUGUGAGGUAUGCUGGAGGUAUCAGAAGUGCGAAUGCUGACAUAAGUAACGAUAAAGCGGGUGAAAAGCCCGCUCGCCGGAAGACCAAGGGUUCCUGUCCAACGUUAAUCGGGGCAGGGUGAGUCGACCCCUAAGGCGAGGCCGAAAGGCGUAGUCGAUGGGAAACAGGUUAAUAUUCCUGUACUUGGUGUUACUGCGAAGGGGGGACGGAGAAGGCUAUGUUGGCCGGGCGACGGUUGUCCCGGUUUAAGCGUGUAGGCUGGUUUUCCAGGCAAAUCCGGAAAAUCAAGGCUGAGGCGUGAUGACGAGGCACUACGGUGCUGAAGCAACAAAUGCCCUGCUUCCAGGAAAAGCCUCUAAGCAUCAGGUAACAUCAAAUCGUACCCCAAACCGACACAGGUGGUCAGGUAGAGAAUACCAAGGCGCUUGAGAGAACUCGGGUGAAGGAACUAGGCAAAAUGGUGCCGUAACUUCGGGAGAAGGCACGCUGAUAUGUAGGUGAAGUCCCUCGCGGAUGGAGCUGAAAUCAGUCGAAGAUACCAGCUGGCUGCAACUGUUUAUUAAAAACACAGCACUGUGCAAACACGAAAGUGGACGUAUACGGUGUGACGCCUGCCCGGUGCCGGAAGGUUAAUUGAUGGGGUUAGCGCAAGCGAAGCUCUUGAUCGAAGCCCCGGUAAACGGCGGCCGUAACUAUAACGGUCCUAAGGUAGCGAAAUUCCUUGUCGGGUAAGUUCCGACCUGCACGAAUGGCGUAAUGAUGGCCAGGCUGUCUCCACCCGAGACUCAGUGAAAUUGAACUCGCUGUGAAGAUGCAGUGUACCCGCGGCAAGACGGAAAGACCCCGUGAACCUUUACUAUAGCUUGACACUGAACAUUGAGCCUUGAUGUGUAGGAUAGGUGGGAGGCUUUGAAGUGUGGACGCCAGUCUGCAUGGAGCCGACCUUGAAAUACCACCCUUUAAUGUUUGAUGUUCUAACGUGGACCCGUAAUCCGGGUUGCGGACAGUGUCUGGUGGGUAGUUUGACUGGGGCGGUCUCCUCCUAAAGAGUAACGGAGGAGCACGAAGGUUGGCUAAUCCUGGUCGGACAUCAGGAGGUUAGUGCAAUGGCAUAAGCCAGCUUGACUGCGAGCGUGACGGCGCGAGCAGGUGCGAAAGCAGGUCAUAGUGAUCCGGUGGUUCUGAAUGGAAGGGCCAUCGCUCAACGGAUAAAAGGUACUCCGGGGAUAACAGGCUGAUACCGCCCAAGAGUUCAUAUCGACGGCGGUGUUUGGCACCUCGAUGUCGGCUCAUCACAUCCUGGGGCUGAAGUAGGUCCCAAGGGUAUGGCUGUUCGCCAUUUAAAGUGGUACGCGAGCUGGGUUUAGAACGUCGUGAGACAGUUCGGUCCCUAUCUGCCGUGGGCGCUGGAGAAUUGAGGGGGGCUGCUCCUAGUACGAGAGGACCGGAGUGGACGCAUCACUGGUGUUCGGGUUGUCAUGCCAAUGGCACUGCCCGGUAGCUAAAUGCGGAAGAGAUAAGUGCUGAAAGCAUCUAAGCACGAAACUUGCCCCGAGAUGAGUUCUCCCUGACUCCUUGAGAGUCCUGAAGGAACGUUGAAGACGACGACGUUGAUAGGCCGGGUGUGUAAGCGCAGCGAUGCGUUGAGCUAACCGGUACUAAUGAACCGUGAGGCUUAACCUUACAACGCCGAAGCUGUU